This 3005-nucleotide ribosomal RNA is filed under the name Salmonella enterica. RNAcentral describes it as "23S ribosomal RNA". It matches the Rfam family "Bacterial large subunit ribosomal RNA". The record is from RNAcentral. Lineage: Bacteria; Pseudomonadati; Pseudomonadota; Gammaproteobacteria; Enterobacterales; Enterobacteriaceae.
GGGUUGUGAGGUUAAGCGACUAAGCGUACACGGUGGAUGCCCUGGCAGUCAGAGGCGAUGAAGGACGUGCUAAUCUGCGAUAAGCGCCGGUAAGGUGAUAUGAACCGUUAUAACCGGCGAUUUCCGAAUGGGGAAACCCAGUGUGAUUCGUCACACUAUCAUUAACUGAAUCCAUAGGUUAAUGAGGCGAACCGGGGGAACUGAAACAUCUAAGUACCCCGAGGAAAAGAAAUCAACCGAGAUUCCCCCAGUAGCGGCGAGCGAACGGGGAGGAGCCCAGAGCCUGAAUCAGCAUGUGUGUUAGUGGAAGCGUCUGGAAAGGCGCGCGAUACAGGGUGACAGCCCCGUACACAAAAGCGCAUGUGCUGUGAGCUCGAUGAGUAGGGCGGGACACGUGGUAUCCUGUCUGAAUAUGGGGGGACCAUCCUCCAAGGCUAAAUACUCCUGACUGACCGAUAGUGAACCAGUACCGUGAGGGAAAGGCGAAAAGAACCCCGGCGAGGGGAGUGAAAAGAACCUGAAACCGUGUACGUACAAGCAGUGGGAGCACAGGUUUACCUGUGUGACUGCGUACCUUUGUAUAAUGGGUCAGCGACUUAUAUUCUGUAGCAAGGUUAACCGAAUAGGGAGCCGGAGGGAAACCGAGUCUUAAUUGGGCGUUAAGUUGCAGGGUAUAGACCCGAAACCCGGUGAUCUAGCCAUGGGCAGGUUGAAGGUUGGGUAACACUAACUGGAGGACCGAACCGACUAAUGUUGAAAAAUUAGCGGAUGACCUGUGGCUGGGGGUGAAAGGCCAAUCAAACCGGGAGAUAGCUGGUUCUCCCCGAAAGCUAUUUAGGUAGCGCCUCGUGAAUUCAUCUCCGGGGUAGAGCACUGUUUCGGCUAGGGGGCCAUCCCGGCUUACCAACCCGAUGCAAACUGCGAAUACCGGAGAAUGUUAUCACGGGAGACACACGGCGGGUGCUAACGUCCGUCGUGAAGAGGGAAACAACCCAGACCGCCAGCUAAGGUCCCAAAGUCAUGGUUAAGUGGGAAACGAUGUGGGAAGGCCCAGACAGCCAGGAUGUUGGCUUAGAAGCAGCCAUCAUUUAAAGAAAGCGUAAUAGCUCACUGGUCGAGUCGGCCUGCGCGGAAGAUGUAACGGGGCUAAACCAUGCACCGAAGCUGCGGCAGCGAACGUAUCACCCAAGACAACUUUACGGAGUUGACGAUUGACGGAGCGAAGCGACGUCAAAGCGUUCAUUAAAGUCGAGUUGGCUUAGGGAUACGUUCGUUGGGUAGGAGCGUUCUGUAAGCCUGUGAAGGUGUGUCGUGAGGCAUGCUGGAGGUAUCAGAAGUGCGAAUGCUGACAUAAGUAACGAUAAAGCGGGUGAAAAGCCCGCUCGCCGGAAGACCAAGGGUUCCUGUCCAACGUUAAUCGGGGCAGGGUGAGUCGACCCUAAGGCGAGGCCGAAAGGCGUAGUCGAUGGGAAACGGGUUAAUAUUCCCGUACUUGGUGUUACUGCGAAGGGGGGACGGAGAAGGCUAUGUUGGCCGGGCGACGGUUGUCCCGGUUUAAGCGUGUAGGUGUGUGUUCCAGGUAAAUCCGGUUCACUUUAACACUGAGGCGUGACGACGAGGCACUACGGUGCUGAAGCAACAAAUGCCCUGCUUCCAGGAAAAGCCUCUAAGCAUCAGGUAACACGAAAUCGUACCCCAAACCGACACAGGUGGUCAGGUAGAGAAUACCAAGGCGCUUGAGAGAACUCGGGUGAAGGAACUAGGCAAAAUGGUGCCGUAACUUCGGGAGAAGGCACGCUGACACGUAGGUGAAGUGAUUUACUCAUGGAGCUGAAGUCAGUCGAAGAUACCAGCUGGCUGCAACUGUUUAUUAAAACACAGCACUGUGCAAACACGAAAGUGGACGUAUACGGUGUGACGCCUGCCCGGUGCCGGAAGGUUAAUUGAUGGGGUCAGCGCAAGCGAAGCUCCUGAUCGAAGCCCCGGUAAACGGCGGCCGUAACUAUAACGGUCCUAAGGUAGCGAAAUUCCUUGUCGGGUAAGUUCCGACCUGCACGAAUGGCGUAAUGAUGGCCAGGCUGUCUCCACCCGAGACUCAGUGAAAUUGAACUCGCUGUGAAGAUGCAGUGUACCCGCGGCAAGACGGAAAGACCCCGUGAACCUUUACUAUAGCUUGACACUGAACAUUGAGCCUUGAUGUGUAGGAUAGGUGGGAGGCUUUGAAGUGUGGACGCCAGUCUGCAUGGAGCCGACCUUGAAAUACCACCCUUUAAUGUUUGAUGUUCUAACGUGGACCCGUAAUCCGGGUUGCGGACAGUGUCUGGUGGGUAGUUUGACUGGGGCGGUCUCCUCCUAAAGAGUAACGGAGGAGCACGAAGGUUGGCUAAUCCUGGUCGGACAUCAGGAGGUUAGUGCAAUGGCAUAAGCCAGCUUGACUGCGAGCGUGACGGCGCGAGCAGGUGCGAAAGCAGGUCAUAGUGAUCCGGUGGUUCUGAAUGGAAGGGCCAUCGCUCAACGGAUAAAAGGUACUCCGGGGAUAACAGGCUGAUACCGCCCAAGAGUUCAUAUCGACGGCGGUGUUUGGCACCUCGAUGUCGGCUCAUCACAUCCUGGGGCUGAAGUAGGUCCCAAGGGUAUGGCUGUUCGCCAUUUAAAGUGGUACGCGAGCUGGGUUUAGAACGUCGUGAGACAGUUCGGUCCCUAUCUGCCGUGGGCGCUGGAGAACUGAGGGGGGCUGCUCCUAGUACGAGAGGACCGGAGUGGACGCAUCACUGGUGUUCGGGUUGUCAUGCCAAUGGCACUGCCCGGUAGCUAAAUGCGGAAGAGAUAAGUGCUGAAAGCAUCUAAGCACGAAACUUGCCCCGAGAUGAGUUCUCCCUGAGACUUAGAGUCUCCUGAAGGAACGUUGAAGACGACGACGUUGAUAGGCCGGGUGUGUAAGCGCAGCGAUGCGUUGAGCUAACCGGUACUAAUGAACCGUGAGGCUUAACCUUACAACGCCGAAG